This 245-nucleotide unclassified non-coding RNA is filed under the name Hevea brasiliensis (rubber tree). The record is from RNAcentral. Lineage: Eukaryota; Viridiplantae; Streptophyta; Magnoliopsida; Malpighiales; Euphorbiaceae.
AGUAAAACGAGGGUAUAAUAACAAUUAAUAGGAAAACUUUAAUAACUAAUUAUGACGCUAAAAAUUAAGUAAAUACGCGUAAAACUAUAUCUAAAAGGAAAAACUACAGUAGUUAUAUAUUAACAAUAGAAGACAAUAAGAGAACCAAAAUUAAACCAAAAGGAAAAUAUAAUUGAUAUUUUCAAAAACAGACCACAAAAAUAAAUAUUAAAACCAAAAGUUAAAGGAAAGAAAUGAUUUUAAAA